Molecule: non-coding RNA, 1406 nt
Organism: Taeniopygia guttata (zebra finch)
Lineage: Eukaryota; Metazoa; Chordata; Aves; Passeriformes; Estrildidae
Source: RefSeq, a predicted model, not a curated record
UCUAAUUGCCUUACUGCUCUCCAGCCUUUCUUGUGACUCUGCUGCUGUGCCUGUAACUUAACUUUUGGCUUUCCCACUGACCUUUCUCCUUUAACUUCAUAUGGCAGAUUCCUGAGCCCUUGAAGGUCCUGGGGAGGCAGAGAGUCAACAUGGAAGAACCUGGUGUCCUUCCCUACUGAAGAACUUCAAGAUGAAUGAGAGAACAUUUUUGCAUAUGAUUCUUUUCUUUGCUCAAAAUGUGCCACCAGAGCAGCAAAUCCAUGAGGUUCAGCUGGUGGCCUUUCUGAUGGCUUUGAUCCCUUCAUCCCUGGAGGUGGCCUUGGAAAACCUCCCAUGCAGGGCAGUGAAGGCAGCUUUGAGCCUGUCACUUUCCUGGUGUCUGAUGUCAAUGUCCUUCUCAUUCAACUUUCUGCUGGACUGGGACAAUGCCUCUCCAUCCCCGAAUGGCUUCUGUGUGACCAGGAUAGGACAGCUGAUCUCCAGUUGCCUGUGGCACAGCACAAGCUUGGGGCUGCUUCUGUAUUUUACCAGAACUGGUUACCUUUGGUUUAUUUUGCUCUUUUUUUUUUUUUCCCCUACAAUCCUCCUAAAACAUGGGUAUUUGAAUUAAAGUUCAAAUUAAAGAGUUAUUGCAGUUAAUUAUGAAGUUUGGCAGGCAUUGAGCUUUUGGCUCCAAAUCAUUUCUACUAUGGGGAGCUGUGAAAGAAUCAAUCUGCUGCAAUUUCUCUGUGGUGCUCAAUAAAAAAUACAGGCAAUAGAAAACUGAGAAAAAUAUUUGAGGGUUUUGCCAAACAUAUACCACAGCAAAGCUCUCUCUUUCCCUCCCAAUCAGCCUCUCUGCAUCCAGGAUUUGUGCCUUAUGGGCCAGCAAAGGAAGAAAUAUAAAAACCCUAUUAAAUCCACAGCGCAUCCACACUAAUUAUAUCUUUUCAGUUAUUUUUACAUUUUGCUGAUGGGCUGUAUCUGUGUGAGCAGCUUUAUAAGGAUGAAUGCAAAAGGAAACCUGUGUGUGUGUAUGCUCAGAGCAGCUGUGCUGAGAAAGUCAUUAAUGUUGUGGCAGUGGUUUGGGGGGUGGGGGGAACAGCAUCCCCUCAAAAUGCAGCAUCUGCAGCCCUUUUUUUAUAAUUUAGCAACGUGAAUGUAGCAAAUGCAAACUGACCUUUUCCAGGAUGGGUGCAGAGACAUUAGGUCUACACAAUGAGUAUGAUGCCAGCAGUUUUAUCUGUGGCAUUUUGUGGGGAUAGUUUAAUAUUUGGAUGGUCCAACAAUAUUUCUAUUUUCUUGGCAGUUUUGAUGAAUUGCUUUGCUCAAAAAAACAAGUCAAAUGUUGCCUGGGAAGAUGCUUGAGAAAGGAAAAUAUUUGUUUCUUCAGCCAUAUAUUGUGUAUUAAAAUGUUUUUGAAGUCA